GAUGAACGCUAGCGGCAGGCCUAACACAUGCAAGUCGAGGGGUAGAAUUAGCUUGCUAAUUUGAGACCGGCGCACGGGUGCGUAACGCGUAUGCAAUCUACCUUGUACAGGGGGAUAGCCCAGAGAAAUUUGGAUUAAUACCCCAUGGUAUAAUUAAUUUGCAUGAAUUGAUUAUUAAAGUUCCAACGGUACAAGAUGAGCAUGCGUCCCAUUAGCUAGUUGGUGUGGUAACGGCAUACCAAGGCGACGAUGGGUAGGGGUCCUGAGAGGGAGAUCCCCCCACACUGGUACUGAGACACGGACCAGACUCCUACGGGAGGCAGCAGUGAGGAAUAUUGGUCAAUGGUCGGAAGACUGAACCAGCCAUGCCGCGUGCAGGAAGAAGCAUCUAUGGUGUGUAAACUGCUUUUGUACGGGAAGAAACACUCCUACGUGUAGGAGCUUGACGGUACCGUAAGAAUAAGGAUCGGCUAACUCCGUGCCAGCAGCCGCGGUAAU
RNAcentral lists this ribosomal RNA (498 nucleotides) under uncultured bacterium. RNAcentral describes it as "bacterial SSU rRNA". It matches the Rfam family "Bacterial small subunit ribosomal RNA", at positions 28 to 524 of the family's 1533-position model. The record is from RNAcentral.